GGUGAAAUUCUUGGACCGUCGCAAGACGGACAGAAGCGAAAGCAUUUGCCAAAAACGUUUUCAUUGAUCAAGAACGAAAGUUAGAGGUUCGAAGGCGAUCAGAUACCGCCCUAGUUCUAACCAUAAACGAUGCCAGCUAGCGAUCCGCCGGCGUUCCUCCGAUGACCCGGCGGGCAGCUUCCGGGAAACCAAAGCUUUUGGGUUCCGGGGGAAGUAUGGUUGCAAAGCUGAAACUUAAAGGAAUUGACGGAAGGGCACCACCAGGAGUGGAGCCUGCGGCUUAAUUUGACUCAACACGGGAAACCUCACCAGGCCCGGACACCGGAAGGAUUGACAGAUUGAGAGCUCUUUCUUGAUUCGGUGGGUGGUGGUGCAUGGCCGUUCUUAGUUGGUGGAGCGAUUUGUCUGGUUAAUUCCGAUAACGAACGAGACUC
Molecule: ribosomal RNA, 434 nt
Filed under: Xylobanus sp. UPOL A00054
Lineage: Eukaryota; Metazoa; Arthropoda; Insecta; Coleoptera; Lycidae
Description: SSU rRNA
Rfam family: Eukaryotic small subunit ribosomal RNA
Source: RNAcentral